Dermacentor silvarum is the source of this 4245-nucleotide long non-coding RNA. RefSeq lists it as uncharacterized. NCBI's taxonomy places the organism in Eukaryota, Metazoa, Arthropoda, Arachnida, Ixodida, Ixodidae. The transcript has 2 exons. The record is from RefSeq and is a predicted model, not a curated record.
ACAGGACAGACUUGCUGCAGCCCAGGUAACAGCCGAGAUAACCGUUGUUUUCCAGUCAGGUCUUCGAGUGAGUGGUUCGGCCACGGCUACGUACGCUAGAGGGCGGGCACUUUUUGCAAGUCGCCUAUCACUCAAUCGCGCUUUCGGCGUCGCAGGCAUGUUAUAUUAUUCUAGAUUUAAAAAUACAGGGACGAAGCGUUUUGCUAGAACAAUUAAGUUUCACUCACGUUCGGUGACCUGCUGUCCGACUUGUUUCAAGAGAUGUUUGGAAGUAACUUGUGGUCAUGGUAUUGUAGUCAUUAAGCGACUCAUUUGUUAUUUGAUCACACUUGGGGAAAUGAUGAGACAGACAGUCCGAAGCAGGGCUGCUUCCUGUUUAGUAGCCUUUGUGAAAAUCACGUGUGAGCCUCAGCUGGGCGACUGGCCACGGCCAUCUGGUGUUGAGUGAUCGGGCAGCGAUGAGAUGCUCUAUGUCCUUAAUUAUCCACCAACUUCGUGCUUGAUUCGUUCUUGACGCCUUUUAUGCGUCAAGAAUUCAUAAGGACACCCUCUCCCCCCCCUCGUAUCCAUCACCCCCACUCCCCUUCUUAAAAUUCUUUUCGGUUAGUCACUGUCGCAAUCUUCAACAUUCAUCGGGUUGUUGAACGGCGCGGUGGCCUCUAGCAUUCCUAUAUUUCUGUUUCUGCAUGGACUUCAAGGCCAUUCAACUACCUGCCCUCCAACCUGUUUGUUGUGUAUGCUUCUUAGCUUCCCUGGCCCAGCACACCCGUCCUUGACAUAAUUUGCCGUGUGCAAAACAGCGUUCUGUAGGUCCUUUUUUCUUGUCCCGUUUCUUGCCCUGUUUUCAUUCUUAACAGCGUGUACAAACUAGCCUAACAGCAAGCUCUUCUCAAGUAUAUUAACAUAGUCAGAGACAAGGGAAGGAAAACGAAAAAGGGGGGGGGGGGGGGGGAGUUGGAGGGUGCUUAUUAUGCGUUUCUUAGACAAGCAAGUCGCAAAUUUUUCGAAAUGCUUCCGCGCAGCGUGGUCGGCGAUUCGGUCAAGUACCAGAAAUUAGAAGCUCUUCAACGACAUGAAGGCCUAAUGGGGAGCAACAGUGCCCCCAAGUUUUAUGCACGCGCUCGUAUCAUUUCUAUCCGUGUGUGGAAUUUUUAGAAGUGAUCCCCCCUGAGCAGUUAUGGUUAACACGAUCCGGAAUGAGGCGCGCCAUGGGGCCUCAAUGUUCUGUGCAUGGGAGAGAAGAUCGCCCCCAGAGAAGAAGCCCCCCACCUCCCCCCUUCGGACCGCCACUAUAGCCCUCGCCUUGUUUUACAUUCAAGCUUUCUCUUUUAUUAAUGUCGCUCCUUAGGAGCCCACCUCCUGAUACUUGAUGUUCCUUGGGGGAGGGGUUCGACCCCCCAAACCCCCCCUCUGGCCACAUCAAUGGUGGCAGUGACUCUGGUGCUGACAAGUAGGCUGUUGCCAACUCUGCAAACACGGUUUCAGGUUCAAAUGUAAUUGUAAUGUGAAUUUUCAGACCCUUGGAAAAAAUAGUACACAUUUGAAUUGGGUAAAUAUGGUUAUCAUUCAUUGUGAGCUGCCGUCUUGCACUUGAAAUUCUGUGAAAGCAGUCCAAAAAGCAGCAUUUUCGGCGAAAGAUAACAUGUCUUUGAUGAUGCUGGAUCCGUUGUCCCCUAGAGCCACCAAGGCAGACGCUGCAGCCAUUUGGGGCUCGAUUUGGAUCACUAUGUGGUCAGGUGCAUGGGGGCUGACCAGUCAGAUUCGAAUGAUCUGAUAAGGGCCAAUUUCAGGAUAUAAAAAUAGCAAAAGUCCUCACCCAUAGAAUUGUAUGGGUGCCAGCCAGGACCUUCAGUCAGAAUCGAAUUAACCAAAAAAUUGAAUUAGCUGGAGUCGAACUAAUGGAAGUCUGCUGUAUGUCAAAAUGCCAAUGAGGCAUUGAACAAACAGUGCUAGAUUGAGCAAAAGUUGGAGCUUUCCAUGCUGAUGACAUGAGGGAAAAACAUUUUUUUGCUGUGAGGCCCUGCAAGAUUCAUAUUAUCGAGAUUCUACUGCACGUAGCUGUAGAUAUUGGAAGUUGAAAAUUGUAAUAUACUUUGAAGGUCGCAUGUUUUUAUUUGUACUCUUAAGGAUGUAUAAUCGCAACAAAUAGGACAUUUGAAAAGAGUCAAAACGACCACCAUGGGCCAGCGCUUGUCUCUUUUCAUGUAUGUUAUAUUCUUGAGAUUAUGUUCUGCAGUUCAUGAGCUGGAAGUUCACCCUUACGGGAAGUGCUAGUUAUAUAGCAUAUAUUUUUCUUUUGAGCCUGUACAAAACAUAUGUAGCUUGUGCGCCACGUGUUGGACAACCACUUUUAGUACAAUGUCAGUUCGAUAGAGGGCACAUUCUCUUUUAAAGCAUGUCACUAUGCUGCUGGCUUAGCAGGCAUUACAUUGAUCAUCUCCAAGAGAUGACCUUGUCAACAAAGGCUUUACACCUCUGCUAAGCUGCUGACAAAUGUACAGCUUCUUUAGGGCAUUGUAAUAUACAGAAUUGUAUAUAAGGAAUGACUGAGGACAAAAGUGGAAGGUGUGAUCGAAGGAGUUGCACAAAGAUGCCAUUUACAGUCCACAUUUCAUACUAAACAGAUGAAGGUUUUUUUUUUUUUUUUUUUUUUUUUUGCUAUCUGCUACUGACAUCCCAUGUCCUGCAAGUUGAAGGUUUACACUGUUGCCUUUUAAAAGGGUGUGAUAGUUCAGAAAAUGUCAGCGCACAUUGUUUACUUGUAUGCACCCAGGUUUGUCCAAAGCUUAUAUUGUAAGACAUGCAGCUCCACCUGAGAUGCUAGUUUUUUAAGGCAGCUGGAAGCACAGGUGCACAUUUCUUUCCACAAAACAAAGCUAGUGCCAUCAUUUGUUAUUUGUCACCAUGCUGGAGCAAGGACCUUUACUGGGACAAGUGGGGCAUUGAGAAAUUUUCACACCAACAAGGCAGUUAAUUUUAGUCGAGCAACAAUGUUUAGUUCCCAUUGAAGGGAGGAUUUGCUAUAGCCAGUAGGUGUUCAAAGCCCAUGUGAUAACUGUAUAGCAUUUGUUCUUCGAGGAUGCUUAGACGAAAAGUUAUCCAAGUGUGUAAAAACUAAUAACUUGUCUUUGAAGUCUUUUGGUGUACUUCUUUUUUUUUUCCACAUUGGUGUUGGAAUAUUGUCUAGUCUGGAGAGGCAUUAAAUUUACGUACAAACCUGAAGGAAAGGUGUGGCAUUGGGGUGCAGAACUGUUAGUGUUCCUGUAUAUGACCCUAUAGUGAGCGAAGUUGUGUGUCUUCAUUCCAUGUACCAUUUGCCGAGCACCAUAAUAUUAUUUCUAGAACUUAAUAAGCGCUAUGCUGCGCUGAAUUCAGUCCUGCUGACAGCACCAGCUCUAUUGGUUUGCUGUUUGUCAUUUAAGCUGCUCCUGCAAAGUAUUUAGUAAGUUUUUGUAUUCAUCCGUAAAAUGAUUACCACUCCUAUGCUUAUAUCAAACCAGAACUUUUCAAGCACUCCAUCUCUAUUGGGCACAUUCCUAUGCUUCUCUGGGGUGUACACCCCAUUUCUGUUGAAAUUUAGCCCAGAAAUAACCAUUUGGAACAUUUGUGCAAUAUAUUUUUAGGGAUGGCAUUUGUGUGGCUUGUUCAGAACUAGCCAGAAUGCACACUCAACAGAAAGGCCUAAGCAAGCAGAAAAAGAUACUACCUCAUCAGUGGCAUGCAGCUGUCUAGCACAUUUUGUAUAUCCCAUGUUGCUGAAAUGCAGUUUUUAAGGUGGCAAAGUAUAUGUGUAUGAUAAAUGAGCGCUAGCUGUGUGUUAUUAAAAUAGUAGUCACAAAUAAAUUGCAAAUUCUUGUGGCAGUCCUCAAGUGUGGCUCCUACAAAAACGGUCCUUGCUUUCCCACACAACAAUGGAUAGCACAAUGGCGGACUUUCAUUCAACUGUGCUCUUAACGGGGAGCAUAAACAGGAACCUAAAAAAUUCAUUUCUGCUGCACCUGUCCAACAUAAGGACAUCAUCCUUUCCUCUCCAUGGAACGUGCACACUCCAAAGCUUACUACUCCUAUAUACUUUUGGCUAUUUUACCUAGUUUUGUGCAGUUAGUGCAUUGGCUGGCACAAGUGCUUCUGCUGUGUAGGAUUUGCUGCACAUUACCCAAAGAAUGUGAUUUUUUUUCUGUAUAUAAUGCUAGUCCCUUGUUUGCUUUUCUUUUUUACUGUGUAAUAAAAAUGUUUGCACAGUGA